RNAcentral lists this ribosomal RNA (273 nucleotides) under uncultured bacterium. Its description in RNAcentral is "partial 16S ribosomal RNA". It matches the Rfam family "Bacterial small subunit ribosomal RNA", at positions 523 to 796 of the family's 1533-position model. The record is from RNAcentral.
AUACGGAGGGUGCAAGCGUUACUCGGAAUCACUGGGCGUAAAGCGCGCGCAGGCGGGCUGAUAAGUUGAAUGUGAAAGCCUACGGCUCAACCGUAGAACUGCAUCCAAAACUGUCAGUCUAGAGUCUGGGAGGGGAAGAUGGAAUUAGUUGUGUAGGGGUAAAAUCCGUAGAGAUAACUAGGAAUACCAAAAGCGAAGGCGAUCUUCUGGAACAGUACUGACGCUGAGGUGCGAAAGCGUGGGGAGCAAACAGGAUUAGAAACCCCAGAGUCC